CCUANGGGGGGCUGCAGUCUUGAAUAUUCGGCAAUCUACGAAAGUAGGACCGAGCGACGCCGCGUGUAGGAUGAAGGCCUUCGGGUCGUAAACUGCUUUUAUCGGGGACGAACAAAUGACGGUACCCGAAGAAUAAGAGGUUGCUAACUCUGUGCCAGCAGCAGCGGUAAUACAGAGACCUCAAGCGUUAUCCGGAUUUAUUGGGUGUAAAGAGUGCGUAGGCUGUUUGGUAAGUCAAUGGUUAAAUCCCGGAGCUCAACUCCGGAACCGCCAUUGAUACUGCCAGGCUAGAGUAUGGAAGAGGCGAGCGGAAUUGCUGGUGUAGGGGUAAAAUCCGUUGAUAUCAGCAAGAACACCAAAUGCGUAGGCAGCUCGCUAGAACAUUACUGACGCUGUUGCACGAAAGCGUGGGGAUCAAAGAGGAUUAGAUACCCGUNUANUC
RNAcentral lists this ribosomal RNA (442 nucleotides) under uncultured bacterium. RNAcentral's name for it is "bacterial SSU rRNA". It matches the Rfam family "Bacterial small subunit ribosomal RNA", at positions 338 to 795 of the family's 1533-position model. The record is from RNAcentral.